Molecule: long non-coding RNA, 224 nt
Filed under: Glycine max (soybean)
Lineage: Eukaryota; Viridiplantae; Streptophyta; Magnoliopsida; Fabales; Fabaceae
Description: long non-coding RNA (GMAX_LNC003918)
Source: RNAcentral
UUGCAUAUUCGAAUAUGUUGAUCAUGCACAUAUAAACGAAGACGAACAUACAAUGUAAAAAACAAAACAAAAAAAGGUGUGGUUUUGUUUUUGACAAAGAGGGCAAAUACAAGGGUAAAACUGAAAUUGUAAAACACUUGAUUUUAAUUUCAUUAUUUUAUUACCUAUUAAAUAAUUUUAAUUCAAAUAUUUAUUUUCUUUUCAUACAUCUUACUCUACCGAAC